Molecule: unclassified non-coding RNA, 2325 nt
Filed under: Acromyrmex echinatior (Panamanian leafcutter ant)
Lineage: Eukaryota; Metazoa; Arthropoda; Insecta; Hymenoptera; Formicidae
Description: uncharacterized LOC105152230, transcript variant X5
Source: RNAcentral
UGUCUAUGGCUAUGUCUGAAGGCGAUGCUCUCUGAUUAUACAAAGAAACUCUUUAUUUACUUUUCGUUAAAAUCAGAAUCUCGCUUGGGGAUAAAGACGAGGCAUUGUGUUCAGUGUUUCAUGAACACGAAUAUCGAUAUAGAGGAAAAGAAAAGAAAGACGAAUUUGCACAAUUUUCACAAGUCUACUUUAUCUUUAUCUUAGACGAAAAAUGUCUGACGGUAUGGAGCGAGAGAAAAGUGAAAGGUUAACUGCGAGGGAAAUCGAGGAAGAGGAAAUGAAACGUGAACUUACGGGUAUUGGGAUAUACGAGCCAGGAAUUACUUAUAAAGAAAUGAAAAGACUACUCGAAUUUGUUAACGAGUCUCAAGAUACAUCGAACGUUACUUCCAAUAAUAAAAAUACGCAGCAGGCAAUACAACAUUCCGAUAAUGAAUGCCUAUCAGAUGUUACAUCUGACAUAAACGUGCAGCAAGGAGUGACUUUGCAGAAGUGUACAGAUAUGCCAAAACCAUCAUAUUCGUACAAAUUGAAUCAUACGCCUCCAACUAUGCACGAACGUAGAGUCGUUCAUUAUAUCAACAGUCCGGAAUCUUCGCCCCUUCUUUUUGAAGUACGAAGUCCUAUUUACAAGAACUCUGAUGAUGAGCAAUUCGAGAAACAGUGCGAUAACUCCAAUUCACACACUACAAAUCGAUAUUUCUCGUUGAGAUUGGAAAAUGUUUCGCGGGGAUGCCAGAAUGCGACGGAGAAAAGAACGCAGGACACGCAAAAUGAAAUUGUCCAAAAACUGGAAAGAUGGCGAUUGAAUCCGCUCGAUAUUUGCAUCAACGAUAACGACGUGCCUUUGCGACAGCCAAAUAGAUCUUUAGCUCGAGAGCGUAUGCCGUUUGAGCAUUGUAAAGAAGCGCACAUGUCCGAUCAGUGUGACCGAGUAAUACGAUCUAUGAACCAGCAUUUGAAGGAAAUGGCAAACUUGUGGUACAAUUGGCGCCCCAUUAUCAAUCCGAUAUUUCAAUGGGGGUCACCCAUUCAGGUCAGCACCGCUAACAGUAGUUUGGAUAAAAAACCAUUAACAAAUCCUAAAACUGAACAGAUCCAAGCAGAAUGUAUAUACCGAGACGGUUAUGAGCGAGCUAGUAAACGUAAGGCGAAUACUCUCAUCGCUACUCUGAAUAGAGACAGUUCCUCUGAGAACGAAGACGAUAAUCAAUACGACUUUACUCGUAAUAAAAAAAAGAGAAUUCAAUCGAAUAAUGUAGAAUAUAUUGAGAAUCAGCAUGCGCAUGCUAGUUAUAAGAAAGAAAACGUGAUUGCAGGUAAUUCUUUCAGCGAUGAUAAUAGCAAUACGAAUAUUGACAAUGAGUAUGUUAAACAUUCACGCUCGCCUGAAUUAACUGCGUAUCCUAGAAGAAUAAGACCUCCCAAUCCUCAAACGCGUUUAAGUCUGGCUAGAAAAAGAAAGGAAAACGCUACAUCGAAACUAUUUCCAAAGACGCAAUGUGAGAAUAAAAAUGUUGAACAGGCAAGAAAUCAAAAGAAAGACAAUACAAUGACAGAAGAAGAAAUUCGUCGUCAACUAGAAGAAGAUUGGAGUAAUGACGAGGAAAAGGUGUGUACGAGGGAAAAGGAUGCGAAGUUUCCGAAGUUGCCGAUGUUGAAAGAAGUACGAUAUAGAUUACGAGACAAACGAUUGUCAUUAAACAAAAAAGCGAAAGAGGCGCGGGCAGCGGUGAAGGAGGAGAAAAGCGAUGAGGAACAAAAUAAGAUAAAGAGAAUGAAGCUUUGCGAACGACGAAAGGUAGAAGAAUUAUGUAGGAUAGAUAAUAGAAACGGAAGUUGGGAGCAUGAACUAUUGUCUGAUGAGGAUAAAUCAUCUGAGAUGAAUCAACAGUUUGAUUUUCAGAAUGGUAAUCGAUCCAAUAAUGUACUUAUUUCGACAAACAAUGUAAAUUGUCCUAUCUGCAAUAAAUGUUUUCCACAUAAUGAGAUAGAGAAUCAUGCCGCCGAUUGCGAACAAUUUGAGAUUAAUAACGAAGAAGAUGAUAAUGAAAGGAUUCAAUUCGAAUGUAAUAUAUGCAGCAAUUACAAGACAAACAAUGGAAAAGAAUAUGAAGAACAUGUUUAUCAAUGUAUAAAUAUUAAGAAUAAUCAAAGACGUUCACAUGGUUUUUAAGAUCGAAGAUUUCGAAUUUAUAGUCGGAAUUUCAAAAUUUACCAAUACAGAGGAGCGUUUGGAUUUUAAGUGAUUCGAAGAGGGGCUCCGAAGACAUCAAUAUCACCUCUACCUCAUCGAUCAAAACCAAUCAAUGAAUAGAAAGAUUC